Molecule: long non-coding RNA, 548 nt
Organism: Brassica oleracea var. oleracea
Lineage: Eukaryota; Viridiplantae; Streptophyta; Magnoliopsida; Brassicales; Brassicaceae
Exons: 3
Source: RefSeq, a predicted model, not a curated record
CUUUCAAAUAGCCACGUUCCUUUUUUUCACCGUUGAUGCUACUUUUGUCUUUGACGUUGCUGAAAGUAAGAGUUCUGCAAGGAUCCGAUGAUGUUCACCGAUAUGCUGAAUUAUGAUGCAAGGUAACGCGAGAUAUUAGUGCGGUUCAAUCAAAUAGUCGUGUUCUCACUUGAUAGAGAUCGGUUUUGUUCGAUUGAGCCGUGCCAAUAUCACGCGUCAACCCAAAACGGCAAAGAUGGUUUUAUUAACCGUGAAGGUAUGUUGACACGCGACACGCGACACAAACCCCAAAAUCCAAGUACAGCUGCGAUAUAACACUUCUAUUUUUAGAAAGUACAUAAGGAAUUUUAAGCAAAAAAAAAAUGUAGUAACACGCUACGAGAGUAAAAGUAAUAGCUAGAAUGAAAAUGUUGUCGUGGGCUUUCUAUCGCGAGGAUAUUGCAACAAUACAGAGAAUUAUAAGUUUUGAUUUGUACUUAUUUGCACUUCUGUCUACAGUUAAUUGACUUGUUUUUAACGUUACUUAAAUAAAAGUGUAAGGUUUAUUA